Molecule: ribosomal RNA, 1020 nt
Filed under: uncultured organism
Description: bacterial SSU rRNA
Rfam family: Bacterial small subunit ribosomal RNA
Source: RNAcentral
CAAGUCGAGCGAGAAAGUUCCUUCGGGGAGCGAGUACAGCGGCGGACGGGUGAGUAACGCGUGGACGAUCUACCCAAGGAUUCGGGAUAACCUUGCGAAAGCGGGGCUAAUACCGAAUGGUCUGGGCAUUUUGAAAUAUGCCUGGUAAAGGUGGCCUCUGAUUCAAGCUAUCGUCUUUGGAUGGGUCCGCGUCCCAUUAGCUUGUUGGUAGGGUCAUGGCCUACCAAGGCGACGAUGGGUAGCUGGUCUGAGAGGAUGAUCAGCCACACUGGGACUGGAACACGGCCCAGACUCCUACGGGAGGCAGCAGUGGGGAAUAUUGGGCAAUGGGCGCAAGCCUGACCCAGCAACGCCGCGUGAGGGAAGAAGGUCUUCGGAUCGUAAACCUCAGUCAGGAGGGAAGAAAUGGGUUGUCCUGAACAGGGAUGGCCUUUGACGGUACCUCCAGAGGAAGCACCGGCCAACUCCGUGCCAGCAGCCGCGGUAAUACGGAGGGUGCAAGCGUUAUUCGGAAUCACUGGGCGUAAAGCGCACGUAGGCGGCUUUGCAAGUCAGGUGUGAAAGCCCUCGGUUCAACCGAGGAAUUGCCCUUGAAACUGUAGAGCUCGAGUUCGGGAGAGGGUGGCGGAAUUCCAGGUGUAGGAGUGAAAUCCGUAGAUAUCUGGAGGAACACCAGAGGCGAAGGCGGCCACCUGGGACCGGAACGGACGCUGAAGGUGCGAAAGCGUGGGGAACAAACAGGAUUAGAUACCCUGGUAGCACACCCGGUAAACGAUGGAUGCUAAGAUCCUGGGUGUGUAAAACAUUCGGUGUCGGAGUUAACGCGUUAAGCAUCCCGCCUGGGGAGUACGGUCGCAAGGCUGAUACUCAAAGAUAUUGACGGGGGCCCGCACAAGCGGUGGAGUAUGUGGUUUAAUUCGAUGCAACGCGAAGAACCUUACCUGGGCUGACAUCCCGGGAACCUCCUGGAAACAGGGGCGUGCCCUUCGGGGAACCCGGUGACAGGUGCUGCAUGGCUGU